AUUGAACGCUGGCGGCAGGCCUAACACAUGCAAGUCGAGCGGAUGAAGGGAGCUUGCUCCUGGAUUCAGCGGCGGACGGGUGAGUAAUGCCUAGGAAUCUGCCUGGUAGUGGGGGAUAACGUCCGGAAACGGGCGCUAAUACCGCAUACGUCCUGAGGGGGAAAGUGGGGGAUCUUCGGACCUCACGCUAUCAGAUGAGCCUAGGUCGGAUUAGCUAGUUGGUGGGGUAAAGGCCUACCAAGGCGACGAUCCGUAACUGGUCUGAGAGGAUGAUCAGUCACACUGGAACUGAGACACGGUCCAGACUCCUACGGGAGGCAGCAGUGGGGAAUAUUGGACAAUGGGCGAAAGCCUGAUCCAGCCAUGCCGCGUGUGUGAAGAAGGUCUUCGGAUUGUAAAGCACUUUAAGUUGGGAGGAGGGGCAGUAAGUUAAUACCUUGCUGUUUUGACGUUACCAACAGAAUAAGCACCGGCUAACUUCGUG
This 484-nucleotide ribosomal RNA is filed under the name uncultured bacterium. RNAcentral's name for it is "partial 16S ribosomal RNA". It matches the Rfam family "Bacterial small subunit ribosomal RNA", at positions 30 to 507 of the family's 1533-position model. The record is from RNAcentral.